Molecule: ribosomal RNA, 313 nt
Filed under: uncultured bacterium
Lineage: Bacteria
Description: bacterial SSU rRNA
Rfam family: Bacterial small subunit ribosomal RNA
Source: RNAcentral
GAUGAACGCUAGCUACAGGCUUAACACAUGCAAGUCGAGGGGCAGCGGGAUUGAAGCUUGCUUCAAUUGCCGGCGACCGGCGCACGGGUGAGUAACGCGUAUCCAACCUUCCGCUUACUCGGGGAUAGCCUUUCGAAGAAAGAUUAAUACCCGAUGGUAUCUUAAGCACGCAUGAGAUUAAGAUUAAAGAUUUAUCGGUAAGCGAUGGGGAUGCGUUCCAUUAGGCAGUUGGCGGGGUAACGGCCCACCAAACCUACGAUGGAUAGGGGUUCUGAGAGGAAGGUCCCCCACAUUGGACUGAGACACGGUCCAA